Molecule: ribosomal RNA, 802 nt
Filed under: uncultured Actinomycetes bacterium
Lineage: Bacteria; Bacillati; Actinomycetota; Actinomycetes
Description: bacterial SSU rRNA
Rfam family: Bacterial small subunit ribosomal RNA
Source: RNAcentral
AACCGGAGCUUCGGCUCCGGGGACAGCGGCGAACGGGUGAGUAACACGUGGGUAAUCUACCCUCGGUUCUGGGAUAGCCCGGGGAAACUCGGAUUAAUACCGGAUAGCCUCUCCGGCUUUAGGGCUGGUGAGAAAAGGUAGCUUCGGCCUCCGACUGAGGAUGAGCCCGCGGCGGAUUAGCUUGUUGGCGGGGUAACGGCCCACCAAGGCGACGAUCCGUAGCUGGUCUGAGAGGACGAUCAGCCACACUGGGACUGAGACACGGCCCAGACUCCUACGGGAAGCAGCAGUGGGGAAUCUUGCGCAAUGGGCGAAAGCCUGACGCAGCGACGCCGCGUGGGGGAAGAAGGCCUUCGGGUUGUAAACCUCUUUCAGGUGGGACGAAGCCACUCGGGUUAAUAGCCCAGAGGGUGACGGUACCGCCAGAAGAAGCCCCGGCUAACUACGUGCCAGCAGCCGCGGUAAUACGUAGGGGGCAAGCGUUGUCCGGAUUUAUUGGGCGUAAAGAGCGUGUAGGCGGCCAGGUAGGUCGGUUGUGAAAACUGGAGGCUUAACCUCCAGACGUCGACCGAAACCCCCUGGCUAGAGUCCGGAAGAGGAGAGUGGAAUUCCUGGUGUAGCGGUGAAAUGCGCAGAUAUCAGGAAGAACACCCGUGGCGAAAGCGGCUCUCUGGGACGGUACUGACGCUGAGACGCGAAAGCGUGGGGAGCGAACAGGAUUAGAUACCCUGGUAGUCCACGCCGUAAACGAUGGGUGCUAGGUGUGGGAGGUGUCGACUCCUCCCGUGCCGCAGCUAACGCA